AGUGAACGCUGGCGGUAGGCCUAACACAUGCAAGUCGAACGGCAGCACAGUAAGAGCUUGCUCUUACGGGUGGCGAGUGGCGGACGGGUGAGGAAUACAUCGGAAUCUACUUUUUCGUGGGGGAUAACGUAGGGAAACUUACGCUAAUACCGCAUACGACCUACGGGUGAAAGCAGGGGAUCUUCGGACCUUGCGCGAUUGAAUGAGCCGAUGUCGGAUUAGCUAGUUGGCGGGGUAAAGGCCCACCAAGGCGACGAACCGUACCUGGUCUGAGAGGAUGAUCAGCCACACUGGAACGGAACCACGGUCCCGACUCCUACGGGACGCAGCAGUGGGGAAUAUUGGACAAUGGGCGCAAGCCUGAUCCAGCCAUACCGCGUGUGUGAAGAAGGCCUUCGGGUUGUAAAGCCCUUUUGUUGGGAAAGAAAAGCAGCAGGUUAAUACCCCGCUGUUCUGACGGUACCCAAAGAAUAAGCACCGGCUAACUUCGUG
RNAcentral lists this ribosomal RNA (492 nucleotides) under uncultured bacterium. RNAcentral's name for it is "partial 16S ribosomal RNA". It matches the Rfam family "Bacterial small subunit ribosomal RNA", at positions 29 to 507 of the family's 1533-position model. The record is from RNAcentral.